AUGACUAGACAGAUCAUCAGUUCUUCAUGCAAUGGCCUGUAUGCUCCGCCUUGCAUCGCUCAGCCGGAACAUAGAUCACCAAGAGUGGACUGGGUUGAGGCUGGUGCCGUCUCCCGUGCAGUGAGGCAUCAAAAGAGCUGUCAUUCUUGCUGGGCUAUGGUGGUUGUAGCAGCUAUUGAGGCUCUACACUACAUCAAAACGAAGGAGUUACUUGUGCUAUCAGUUCAAGAGUUAAUCGACUGUGACACAAAAAGCUUCGGAUGUGCGGGUGGCUACACUGAAAAUGCGCUUGAGUACGUACAGAAAAAUGGUCUGUCCAGAGAAUCAGACUAUGGCUACAUGGGCCGGGAACGUAUACUAGGUUGCAAGAAAAAUAAGGCACCAGCAGCGUCAAUCACAGGUUUCAAAACCAUCAUCAAUCCUACUGAAGAGUCCUUGGAGGCGGCAGUGGCGCAACAGCCAGUUAUCAUUCGAUUGCAGUGCUCGCAGAGCUUCCGAGAGUAUAAAGGAGGUAUUAUUGACUCGCCACCAGCUGCACCCAAAAGCGAAGGCAUGUUCGUGCACUAUGUCCUGAUUGUAGGCUAUGACACGGACUCCAAUGGCAUCAAGUUUUGGCGAUUCAAGAACACCGCUGGUGAGGGUUGGGGCGAGGCACAUCGCUGA
Molecule: ribosomal RNA, 663 nt
Filed under: Triticum aestivum (bread wheat)
Lineage: Eukaryota; Viridiplantae; Streptophyta; Magnoliopsida; Poales; Poaceae
Description: partial small subunit ribosomal RNA
Source: RNAcentral